Molecule: microRNA precursor, 136 nt
Filed under: Hordeum vulgare
Lineage: Eukaryota; Viridiplantae; Streptophyta; Magnoliopsida; Poales; Poaceae
Description: microRNA MIR1122
Rfam family: MIR1120/MIR1122 microRNA precursor family
Source: RNAcentral
UAUAUACUCCCUCCGUCUCAAAAUUCUUGUCUUAGAUUUGUGUAGAUAUGAAUGUAUCUAGUCAUGUUUUAGCUUUUAGAUACAUUCAUUUUUAGACAAACUUAAGAGAAGAAUUGUGGGACGGAUGGAGUAUGUA